This 591-nucleotide long non-coding RNA is filed under the name Apteryx owenii (little spotted kiwi). RNAcentral describes it as "lncRNA (ENSAOWG00000012112.1)". Lineage: Eukaryota; Metazoa; Chordata; Aves; Apterygiformes; Apterygidae. The record is from RNAcentral.
GUUUAUUUUCAGAGAGAGAGAAAUGUUAUAGCUGGAAAGUUUCCUUUCAUCUCAUAACCACCCCCAUGAAAGUCUCCUCCUACGCAGGCGAUGCCCAUCCUUGCUGUGGAUGGUUGGACAGUGCUGGAAGAGCCAAAUCUUUCCCUUUAGGGGAGCAUUGUUGCCUGCAAAUUCUAGAAUGGAUUCUGAAGAAAGAAAUAAUUAUCUGGAGGUGGUUGGAACAUGCAACAAAGGUGGCCUCCAAGAAGGUGUCACUCCCCCGGGCUGCCAGUGUGGACUCACAGCGCAGGCGAUGCCUGCCAUGCUUCGGGCGGCUGCAUGGGGUUUAAUUUCAUGCUGUCAAACCGUGUGGGAGCGCUGAGCAGCUUUGAAGUUUCUCAGCCUGCUGUGGUGAAGGAGGGAGACAUCAUCAAGGUGAACCAAGGCCCUUCAGUGCAGCUAAAAUUUGCCAGGCGCACAAAAGCCACUUCAGCAGGAGUAUCGAAGUCCUUUUGUCACUUUGGGUGUUGUGACACAGUAUUGGCUGAAGGGAGGAUAAAGCAAACGCCAGGAGACCUGAACGUUGGAGUAGACAACAGCAGCUGCUGCAAG